Molecule: transfer RNA, 72 nt
Filed under: Eucalyptus grandis
Lineage: Eukaryota; Viridiplantae; Streptophyta; Magnoliopsida; Myrtales; Myrtaceae
Rfam family: tRNA
About the family: Transfer RNA (tRNA) molecules are approximately 80 nucleotides in length.
Source: Rfam by way of RNAcentral
AGGGUUAUAACUCAAUGGUAGAGUGUUACCUUGACGUGGUGGAAGAAAUUAGUUCGAGCUUGAUUAUCUCUA